AUUGAACGCUGGCGGCAUGCCUUACACAUGCAAGUCGAACGGCAGCACGGGAGCAAUCCUGGUGGCGAGUGGCGAACGGGUGAGUAAUAUAUCGGAACGUGCCCGGUCGUGGGGAUAACGUAGCGAAAGCUACGCUAAUACCGCAUACGAUCUACGGAUGAAAGCGGGGGAUCGCAAGACCUCGCGCGAUUGGAGCGGCCGAUAUCAGAUUAGGUAGUUGGUGAGGUAAAGGCUCACCAAGCCGACGAUCUGUAGCUGGUCUGAGAGGACGACCAGCCACACUGGGACUGAGACACGGCCCAGACUCCUACGGGAGGCAGCAGUGGGGAAUUUUGGACAAUGGGCGAAAGCCUGAUCCAGCAAUGCCGCGUGAGUGAUGAAGGCCUUAGGGUUGUAAAGCUCUUUUACCCGAGAUGAUAAUGACAGUAUCGGGAGAAUAAGCUCCGGCUAACUCCGUGCCAGCAGCCGCGGUAAAGUG
This 478-nucleotide ribosomal RNA is filed under the name uncultured bacterium. RNAcentral's name for it is "bacterial SSU rRNA". It matches the Rfam family "Bacterial small subunit ribosomal RNA", at positions 30 to 527 of the family's 1533-position model. The record is from RNAcentral.